UACGUAGGCAGCAAGCGUUGUUCGGAAUUACUGGGCGUAAAGAGUGUGUAGGCGGUGCUCCAAGUCUGGUGUGAAAUCUCCCGGCUUAACUGGGAGGGUGCAUUAGAAACUGGAAUGCUAGAGGAUGGGAGAGAUAAGCGGAAUUCCUGGUGUAGCGGUGAAAUGCGUAGAUAUCAGGAGGAACACCUGUGGUGUAGACAGCUUACUGGACCAUUUCUGACGCUGAGACACGAAAGCGUGGGUAGCAAACAGG
This 253-nucleotide ribosomal RNA is filed under the name uncultured bacterium. RNAcentral's name for it is "partial 16S ribosomal RNA". It matches the Rfam family "Bacterial small subunit ribosomal RNA", at positions 524 to 776 of the family's 1533-position model. The record is from RNAcentral.